GACGAACGCUGGCGGCGUGCUUAACACAUGCAAGUCGAACGGAAAGGCCCUGCUUGCAGGGUACUCGAGUGGCGAACGGGUGAGUAACUCGUGGGUGAUCUGCCCUUCACUUCGGGAUAAGCCUGGGAAACUGGGUCUAAUACCGGAUAGGAGCCAUUUUUAGUGUGAUGGUUGGAAAGUUUUUUCGGUGUAGGAUGAGCUCGCGGCCUAUCAGCUUGUUGGUGGGGUAAUGGCCUACCAAGGCGGCGACGGGUAGCCGGCCUGAGAGGGUGGACGGCCACAUUGGGACUGAGAUAAGGCCCAGACUCCUACGGGAGGCAGCAGUGGGGAAUAUUGCACAAUGGGCGCAAGCCUGAUGCAGCGACGCCGCGGGGGGGAUGACGGCCUUCGGGUUGUAAACUACUUUCGCUAGGGACGAAGCUUUUUGUGACGGUACCUAGAUAAGAAGCACCGGCUAACUACGUG
Molecule: ribosomal RNA, 465 nt
Filed under: uncultured bacterium
Lineage: Bacteria
Description: partial 16S ribosomal RNA
Rfam family: Bacterial small subunit ribosomal RNA
Source: RNAcentral